ACGAACGCUGGCGGCGUGCUUAACACAUGCCAGUCGCACGGAAAGGCCCUGCUUUUGUGGGGUGCUCGCGUGGCGAACGGGUGAGUAACACGUGAGUAACCUGCCCUUGACUUUGGGAUAACUUCAGGAAACUGGGGCUAAUACCGGAUAGGAGCUCCUGCUGCAUGGUGGGGGUUGGAAAGUUUCGGCGGUUGGGGAUGGACUCGCGGCUUAUCAGCUUGUUGGUGGGGUAGUGGCUUACCAAGGCUUUGACGGGUAGCCGGCCUGAGAGGGUGACCGGCCACAUUGGGACUGAGAUACGGCCCAGACUCCUACGGGAGGCAGCAGUGGGGAAUAUUGCACAAUGGGCGGAAGCCUGAUGCAGCAACGCCGCGUGCGGGAUGACGGCCUUCGGGUUGUAAACCGAUUUCGCCUGUGACGAAGCGUGAGUGACGGUAAUGGGUAAAGAAGCACCAGCUAACUACGUG
Molecule: ribosomal RNA, 467 nt
Filed under: uncultured bacterium
Lineage: Bacteria
Description: partial 16S ribosomal RNA
Rfam family: Bacterial small subunit ribosomal RNA
Source: RNAcentral